UAAGGAAUAUUGGUCAAUGGACGCAAGUCUGAACCAGCCAUGCCGCGUGAAGGAUUAAGGUCCUCUGGAUUGUAAACUUCUUUUAUCUGGGACGAAAAAAGGCGAUUCUUCGUCACUUGACGGUACCAGAUGAAUAAGCACCGGCUAACUCCGUGCCAGCAGCCGCGGUAAUACGGAGGGUGCAAGCGUUAUCCGGAUUCACUGGGUUUAAAGGGUGCGUAGGCGGGCAGGUAAGUCAGUGGUGAAAUCCUGGAGCUUAACUCCAGAACUGCCAUUGAUACUAUCUGUCUUGAAUAUUGUGGAGGUAAGCGGAAUAUGUCAUGUAGCGGUGAAAUGCUUAGAUAUGACAUAGAACACCUAUUGCGAAGGCAGCUUACUACGCAUAUAUUGACGCUGAGGCACGAAAGCGUGGGGAUCAAACAGGAUUAGAUACCCUGGUAGUCCACGCCCUAAACGAUGGAUACUCGACAUACGCGAUACACUGUGUGUGUCUGAGCGAAAGCAUUAAGUAUCCCCACCUGGGAAGUACGACCGCAAGGUCGAAACUCAAAGGAAUUGACGGGGUCAUAGCUGUUUCCUG
This 580-nucleotide ribosomal RNA is filed under the name uncultured bacterium. Its description in RNAcentral is "partial 16S ribosomal RNA". It matches the Rfam family "Bacterial small subunit ribosomal RNA", at positions 355 to 1376 of the family's 1533-position model. The record is from RNAcentral.